GCUGUGGUGGGCACAUGACUGUAGUACCAGCUACUUGGGAGGCUGAGGCAAGAGGAUUGCCUGAGUCCAGGAGUUCUGGGCUAUAGUGUGCUAUGCUGAUUGGCUGUCUGCACUAAGUGUGGCCCCAGUAUGGUGACCUCCUAGGAGUGGGGGGACCACCAGGUUGCCUAAGGAGGGGUGAACUGGCCCAGUUUGGAAAUGGAGCAGGUCAAAACUCCCGUGCUGAUCAAUAGUGGGAUUGCACUUGUGAAUAGCCACUGCACUGCAGCCUGGGCAACAUAGUGAGACCCCAUCUCU
This 297-nucleotide signal recognition particle RNA is filed under the name Pan paniscus (pygmy chimpanzee). RNAcentral describes it as "Metazoan signal recognition particle RNA (ENSPPAG00000014106.1)". It matches the Rfam family "Metazoan signal recognition particle RNA". Rfam says of the family: The signal recognition particle (SRP) is a universally conserved ribonucleoprotein. Lineage: Eukaryota; Metazoa; Chordata; Mammalia; Primates; Hominidae. The record is from RNAcentral.